UUAAGUUCAGCGGGUAUCCCUACCUGAUCCGAGGUCAAACUGAGAAUCAAAGACGUGUGCGGCAGCCCUGCAGCCUGGUGCUUGUACGAACAAUCUGCUACGCGCAAGACCAGCCGCCGGACGCCGAUGCUUUUCAGGCGAGUCCGCCGCGCAGUGCGGGGACAAACGCCCAACACCAAGCUAUGCUUGAGGGGUGUAAU
This 200-nucleotide unclassified non-coding RNA is filed under the name fungal sp. RNAcentral describes it as "partial internal transcribed spacer 2". The record is from RNAcentral. Lineage: Eukaryota; Fungi.